CGCAAGCAGCUGACCCCCGCCCAAUAUAAUGUGCUGCGCGAAGCCGGCACCGAGCGCCCGUUUACCAGCCCGCUGAACAAGGAGAAGCGCAAGGGAACCUUCACCUGCGCCGGCUGCGACCUGCCGCUGUUUGCCUCCGAGACCAAGUUUGACAGCGGCACCGGCUGGCCGAGCUUCUAUCAGGCGCUCCCCAACGCCAUCCUCGAGAAGUCCGAUCGCAGCUACAUGAUGGUGCGGACCGAGACCCUGUGCCGGCGGUGCGGCGGCCAUCUCGGCCAUGUG
RNAcentral lists this unclassified non-coding RNA (282 nucleotides) under Hevea brasiliensis (rubber tree). The record is from RNAcentral. Lineage: Eukaryota; Viridiplantae; Streptophyta; Magnoliopsida; Malpighiales; Euphorbiaceae.